Molecule: ribosomal RNA, 490 nt
Filed under: uncultured bacterium
Lineage: Bacteria
Description: partial 16S ribosomal RNA
Rfam family: Bacterial small subunit ribosomal RNA
Source: RNAcentral
AAUGAACGCUGGCGGCAUGCCUAACACAUGCAAGUCGAACGGCCGCAUGACCUGCCUUCCUAGGUUGAUGGCGCGUCGCGCGCGGGAGAAUCAUGCGUCGAACCUUCCUUUUUGAUUGGGAUUACCGUGGCGAAAGUUACGCUAAUACCGCAGAUUCUCUGAGCAGGAUGGCACAGGACCUUAGGGCGUUCUGCUAGAAAAUCGGCCAUGGAUGGAUUAGCUAGUUGGUGAGGUAAAGGCUCACCAAGGCAACGAUCCGUAGCGGGUCUGAGAGGAUGAUCCGCCACACUGGGACUGAGACACGGCCCAGACUCCUACGGGAGGCAGCAGUGGGGAAUCUUGGACAAUGGGCGAAAGCCUGACGCAGCCAUGCCGCGUGAGUGAAGAAGGUCUUCGGGUUGUAAAGCUCUUUUGGUAGGGAAGAAAAUGUGCCCUAUAAAACAGGGUGUGGAUGACGGUACCAGAAGAAGAAGCAACGGCUAACUACGUG